Molecule: non-coding RNA, 74 nt
Organism: Trichonephila clavipes
Lineage: Eukaryota; Metazoa; Arthropoda; Arachnida; Araneae; Nephilidae
Source: the annotation of a GenBank genome assembly
GUCCUUGUAGCGCAAUACAUAAGCGCGUUGGACAUCUAAUGCAAAGGUCGUGGAUUCGAAUCCCACCUGGGAUG